CGAGGGUCCGAGCCGGGCUGGGCCGUGGGCGGAGGCGAUGGAAGGCUACGCUAGGGCGAUUCGCCGCUCCGCCUGCCUUCGCAGAGCCUGAGCUCGACCAUGGAGCAAUAGCGAUAGCACCCCCCUCGACGCCGCCGACGCCGCCACACCCACUUCUCUUGUCUGGCGGUGACAAUGGAGCUGGGGCCGGCCGCCGGGCAGCCGGCGCAGCAGUAUCCCCACCGCCCCCAGGCCCCGUCGGGCGGAGGUCCCUGCCCGGAGAUGCUGCAAGUGGCCGAGGAGGCUUUCCGAGGCGGGCAGUUCGCGCUGGCGGCCGAGAUCCUGAGCUCGCAGCUGGCCGAGCUGCCGCAGCCCGAGCGGGGCCUGUGCCUCCGCCAAGGGGACGCGCUAGCCCGCGCGGGGCGCAUGGCCGAAGCGUUGGACUCGUACAGCGUCGCCGCUAGACUGGCCCGCUUGCGGCCCGAGGAGUUGCGCGAGCUGACGGAGAGUUUCGCCCUCCUCGUCCGCGACAAAGAGCUGCGGCUGCCUCCCUGGCAGGGGCCUGGAAACGGCGGCGGGGGCACCCCGGAGGCGGCUGACCCGCUGGGGGACCCCGCUUGCUGCCGCCCUCCGGAGCCGCUCUGCUGCCCUUCGUGCCUGCGUCUCCUCCACGAGCCAGUGACUCUGCACUGCGGGCACACCCACUGCAAGCGCUGCGCCCGGAGCGGCGGAGGGCAGUGUGUCCGCUGCGCCGUCCGGCGUUCCGGCUCCGCCUGUGCCUCUGCCUCGGUCCCCAGCACGGCGAGCCAAGCCCCCGCCGGCCUCCGCGUCAACGUGGUGCUGGGCGGCUUGCUGGAAAAAUGGUUCCCGGCCGAGAACAGAGCACGCCGGCUGUGCGCCGAAGGGGAUGCCUUGCGGGAGAAGCAGGAUCUGGCGGCCGCUUUGGAGAAGUACAACCAGGCCCUGGAACUCGCUUCUUGUAAAGGUUUGUUAAUAGCACAACGGGCAGAACUUUGUACAGCUAUGAAGAAUUAUCAACAAGCCCUUUAUGAUGCAGAAGUACUCUGCCAAAAUAAACCCCAUUGGCCUAAGGGUCACUAUGUCAAAGCACAAGCUCUUUCUGGAUUAGGAAGGAUUGAAGAAGCAUUGAAGGAAUUUCUUUACUGUGUUGCCUUAAAUCCUGAGUGGAACUCAAUGAAGAUGGAAGCCCAAAAGAUAAUGUGUGAGAUGUUUUUUCCAGCAUUUGAAAAUGUUCAUGAUAGUUUAACAACGCCUUUUUGUAAUCGGACCUCUUAUACAAGAUUGAAACCUGCAUUUCUUAGUAGCAUAAAUACACAGUCUUCUAGUGAAGAUGGGCCAACAGCAGAGAGCUCAAAGGAGACAAUCCUGAGGUUAACAAGAAACCCUUCCCAAGAGAGUGAUGUGUAUCGUUGUAUUGAUUCUUCAAUUUCCCAUCAUGAUUUCUACUUUGAAGAGAACAAGAAAACAUUAGGAAAAGUCCUCUCCAGCCUACCCAGUGCAAGCUUGAAAAGAAAAUUUUCUAGUGAUGUGGGAGACCUACAGAACCUGGAUGUCCCUAGCAAAAUUCCUAGAAAAGAUGGAGAUGCUACUUGUGGAAACUCAGCUUCUCUUCCCAUAAAAGAGAUUCCUACAAAUCUCAUGGAUGCAUCUGACUUUGAGUGUUCCCUUUGCAUGAGGUUAUUCUAUGAACCUGUCACUACUCCUUGUGGACAUACGUUCUGCCUCAAAUGCCUUGAACGUUGUCUGGACCAUAAUCCCCACUGUCCGCUUUGUAAAGAAAAGCUGUCAGAUUUUUUGGCAAGUCGGACUUACAAAAAGACCAUCCUUACUGAAGAAUUAAUAGUUCGAUACUUUCCAGAAGAAUUAUCUGAAAGGAAAAAGGUUUAUGAAGAAGAAAUGAAGGAAUUAUCAAAUCUAAAUAAAGAUGUUCCCAUUUUUGUGUGCACCAUGGCUUUCCCUACCAUCCCUUGUCCUCUUCAUGUCUUCGAGCCCCGUUAUCGAUUAAUGAUAAGAAGAUGCAUGGAAACGGGCACUAAACAGUUUGGCAUGUGUUUAACUGAUGAACUGAAAGGGUUUGCAGAUUACGGCUGCAUGUUGGAGAUCAGGGAUGUGAAGUUUUUCCCUGAUGGGCGCUCAGUUGUUGAUACAGUUGGUGUUCGGCGUUUUAGGGUCUUAAGCCAUGGUCAGCGAGAUGGAUAUAACACUGCAAACAUUGAAUAUUUGGAAGAUGAAAAGGUUGAAGGGGCAGAGUACGAAGAGCUUGUCCGCAUUCAUGAUUCGGUUUACGAUCAAGCCGUUUCCUGGUUUACUUCUCUUAAAGACAAUAUGAAAGCACAAAUUUUAAGCCAUUUUGGACCAAUGCCAGGGAAAGAACGUGAGCCACAGAGUAAUCCCAGUGGUCCAGCUUGGUACUGGUGGCUGUUGGCAGUUUUGCCACUAGAGAACAGGGCUCAAUUGGCCAUUCUUGCCAUGACUUCACUUAAAGAUCGACUCAUUGCCAUUCGCCGCGUAUUAAUAUUUGUGACCCUCAAAAGACCCAGAUGACACAGUCUUAUUUGUGAAGACACACUGAAAACAACUGGUUUCUAAUGCUAAUAAGAACACAGUUGGCAACUGAACAGUUCUUCCCUCUGCUCGUCUAAGCAUUCUUUUUUGCACACUCUGGACCCAAUAGUUAAUCAAGUAUUCUGUGCCUCUUGUCCUGGAAUAAUCUGAGCCUCUCGGAAGUUGUGCCGCAACUGCAACAUAGCAUACAGUACUUGCAGGCACCAACUGAGUAUAUAAUCGCCAUCUACUUAUCAAGAUGAGACAGCUGAGUCAGAAGCACUAAAAUGUCUAGAAAUCCCCAGUUGACAUUUUUAUUUCUUUGUAGCAAGGAAACAGGACUUGGAGUACUGUAGUGGAUUAGAAACUGAGAAUAUGUAUUGUUAAAAUAUUCCUCACGGUAACCUGUUGAAGAGAAAUUAUCAAGUGUUCCUCUGAAAGAAUGCACCUUUUUAUCUGCAACGUGUGGACAACAGAAUCAGAAGUAAAUGGGGUUGCCAGGAUAAAAUGUUCCACUUCCAAAGAACACUGUCCUAAAGGGUAUCCGAUGAACAGCUUUGUAGCUGAUUAUAAACCAAUUCCUUGUGUUUGUAAUUUGCAUGCUGUAUGUAUUGAGAAGAAUGUUUCAAAUAUAUAUCUAAAAAGUUUGAGUCAUUCUUCCCUCCCAAACCCCUUUUCCUUCAGAAUGACAUCAGGAACCUACAACAAGGAAAGAGUUACCUGUAGGCAGCCUUGCAGUUGGGACAUGGAACUAACAGCCUCCCAUAGUGGACAUAAGUGUGUCUUAGGGAAAGCUUCUCGCUGCCAUUACAAUACUUGAGAUUGUGAAGCUCUGUGGCUGGAUCAUGGCCAGCAUGUUUAGUGUAUAUCUACUCUGUUAAUUUCAAGCUCUUCAGUGAUUAUCUUACUAAAGGCUGUUGAAGAAUUGAAACACCAUUUCAAUUUUAUCCUUCUAGUUUUGUCUAGAAGUAACACUUCAGUAAAAUCCAUCUUUACUCACAACUGCCAUACCAGCCUGAUAGGUUCUUCUAAGAAAACAUAGUUCCAUAUACUUUUGAAAACCAAAACCUUAAUAUUACUUGUUAUGUACCGAAUACUGUUCGUGCUUGAAGUUCUUGCUGACAUGAGAGGAGACACAAAUGGAAUCCUGUACUGCAAAUUUCAAUGCAAAUUUCAAUCAGAUGUAAAUAUAUCUGUAUUUGAUGUCUUCAUAUGUGUUGCUAACUUUUUAAAAAUGGUUGAAUUAUUGGAAAUAGUUUAGUAGUUUAGUUGUAAAAAUGAAACAGCAAAACAGUAUUGCUAAUUCAAAUUGCUGGGAUCUCUGAAUUUCCAGAAACAAUUGAACAGGAUGUGAUGAUAAUAGUGGUUCAGGUUUCAGAACAUGGUGCAAAGACAAGGAAAGCUAAAAGUUACUAGGUGUAAAAAAAAAAAUAAUAAUCUGGCAAGAAAAUAAUGACAAUACCAAAAUAUUUCAAAAGUGCCUCCUUUAUGAAUUAGAAACAGCAUGUACUCUUUGGACAAAGGCAUAAAAAUUUCAAUGUAUACAGAAAGUAUAAUCAUCUAUAAGACUGAUUUUAGUAAGUGCUAUAAUUGUGUGGUAUUAGAAGAUUGUCUAAAGAAUCUUGAGCGGAUAGCAGUUUCCUAAGACAUGAUCAACACAGCGUGAAUGUACUGUAAUUGCUUCUUCUUUGAAUUUACCUUUUGUAGUUAAAUAUUGAUCUGUGACUGCUCUUUUAAUUGUAAACUGUGCAACUUGCAAAUGAAGCUCUAAUAAUUUCUGCCAUAGCCUUCCUGCAAGUUCUAAUACCUUUACCAGAGUUUGUAGAUUCUCUUUCAAGUAUUUUUAGGAAGUUUGCACCUGGCUAAACUUGGUUGAUCUUGAAUGCUAAACAAGGUCAGGCCUCAUUACUACUUGGAUGGGGGACCAUCUGGGAGCUCUAAGGCUGUAGAUGAGACCAGGAAAUUAAAAAAAAAAUGCCAGAAGGAGACCAUGGCAAGCCACUUCCGUGUCAUGCCAAGAACACCGCAUCAAUUUCUCCAGGUAGUCCCCAGGAGUCAAGCGUGACUCAAGGCGACGUUACCUGUUUUAGCAUUAAAGCCAGAGAGACGGAGGGUCGCACUCUCUUCUCCUUUCUAUCCGUUCCUUGGGUGCUAUCACACUUUCCUUCAACACAGCUGUCUUCCUGUUCAUUCACUGGACUUCAAAAGCUUCCAAGUUUUACCAAGAAAGAGGUUUUUCAAAAUGAGCCUCAUUAGUUUUUUUUGCAGGGAACUUGGACCACCUUCAUUAUUUUUCACAGUAUUUUUAGCUGUGAUUGCUUGGAAUGUCUCUGGCAGGAUUUGGGUUUACCUCCUGUUUUUCUCUCUCUCUUUUCUCUUCUGUUACUAAUUGAAGUUAGAGAGCAAUUCAGCAUAAGUACAAACUAGUUUGUUCCUAAGUUAACUGUUCGGGCGCUUCCCAUUUUUGAGGCAGAAUCCUCUGUACCAAUGUUGAGAAACACUGCUCUAUACUAUCCCUGGGAUUCUCAUCUGCUGCUGCCUUUUGGAUGAGGAAUUUUGUGAGAGUCUUCAACUUGGUACUGUUACCCUUUAAAAUCAAAAGCCAGGCUGACAAGUCUUUCAACCAUCAGAGCUUGGUCCCUCCACAGACACAUUAACAUAAGCUUAUGAAGAAAGCCAGAAUUUUAAAGUUCUUUUCUUUCUCUUAGGCUGAUCAAUCUGGCAACUUUUAGAGAACUGAGGAUUACAAUAUCCUCAUUGUCUAAAAUGCUUUGCAGAAAAAUAUUCAAGACAUUAUUUUAUCGAGUCUAACAGGGCUGAAAAGGUAUCCCAGCCACUCCUAUAAAAAGCAAACGUGCAAAAACCUGAAUUCCAUAAUAGGUCUGCUUCCAAAUAAUAGGUGAAGCUUAUUCCUUUUUAAAUUUUACAACUCGUGUGAAUUAUUUGCUACAGUGGCCUUUAUCUACUGUUUUCAAAUAUCCUUUUUUCCUUUCAGUUGCUAAGGGUGCUUUGUGAUUCCGGUAAGCUGAUAAUCAGCAGAUUUCUGCUCUUUUGAUUCAUGCUGCAGUUAAUUUUCAACGAAAAGGAAUACGAUUUGCUCAUAAAACUGUAUGAAUUAGUCAUACAGCACCUUGCAUAACCGAAGGCCUGGUGUUUGGUAGCGCCUUAAUUUUGCAGCACUAGAAUGAUUGUAUCAACAAAGCACCAUAAAAACAAAAUCUGGAGCUUAUGACCAGUUUUAAAAAAAUAUUUAAUGUAGAUAAAACUUGAAACAAAUAUCCUUAUGUUUUGAAACUAGUUGACGUGUGUAUGUGAAUAAGUGUACAUGGUUGUACAUGUGUAAAUAUAAAUUAUUCCUCACUUUUUAUACUUAGUAAAACAAAAGUCAGGUAUGUGUUACGGCUAUGUUUGGCACUUCGUUGCAUAAAACCAAACUUUUUUUUAAAAAAAAAUUGCUGCAAUGUUCUUUUUGUGUAUAUUUGGAAUAUCCAUGGGAAAAUGUAUUUAUGUGACAUUUCAAAUAAAUAAUUUCUGUUUGC
RNA transcript from Candoia aspera, 6083 nucleotides. It is a transcript of the gene named LON peptidase N-terminal domain and ring finger 2, with no coding region annotated. The transcript has 13 exons. Lineage: Eukaryota; Metazoa; Chordata; Lepidosauria; Squamata; Candoiidae. The record is from RefSeq and is a predicted model, not a curated record.